Molecule: ribosomal RNA, 484 nt
Filed under: uncultured bacterium
Lineage: Bacteria
Description: partial 16S ribosomal RNA
Rfam family: Bacterial small subunit ribosomal RNA
Source: RNAcentral
AUUGAACGCUGGCGGCAGGCCUAACACAUGCAAGUCGAGCGGAUGAAGGGAGCUUGCUCCUGGAUUCAGCGGCGGACGGGUGAGUAAUGCCUAGGAAUCUGCCUGGUAGUGGGGGAUAACGUCCGGGAACGGGCGCUAAUACCACAUACGUCCUGAGGGAGAAAGUGGGGGAUCUUCGGACCUCACGCUAUCAGAUGAGCCUAGGUCGGAUUAGCUAGUUGGUGGGGUAAAGGCCUACCAAGGCGACGAUCCGUAACUGGUCUGAGAGGAUGAUCAGUCACACUGGAACUGAGACACGGUCCAGACUCCUACGGGAGGCAGCAGUGGGGAAUAUUGGACAAUGGGCGAAAGCCUGAUCCAGCCAUGCCGCGUGUGUGAAGAAGGUCUUCGGAUUGUAAAGCACUUUAAGUUGGGAGGAAGGGCAGUAAGUUAAUACCUUGCUGUGUUGACGUUACCAACAGAAUAAGCACCGGCUAACUUCGUG